CAGCGGCAGACGGGUGNUAACACGUAGAUAACCUGCCCUCAAGACGGGGACACCUGGUGGAAACAGCGGCGAAUACCCGAUAUGCUCACAGGAUCGGGAGAUCGAGUGAGGAAAGCGCCCCUUCGGGGGAGAGUGUNUGAGGAGGGAUCUGCGGCCCAUCAGCUAGUUGGUGAGGUAACGGCUCACCAAGGCGAAGACGGGUAGGGGGUGUGAGAGCAUGUGCCCCCACAAUGUGACUGAGACACGGCCCAUACUCCUACGGGAGGCAGCAGCGGGGAAUAUUGCGCAAAUGGACGGAAGUCAGACGCAGCGACGCCGAGUGGGUGAGGAAGGCCUUCGGGUUGUAAAGCCCUUUUCAGGGGAGCGAGAAAGGACGGUACCCUUGGAAUAAGCGUCGGCUAACUACGUGCCAGCAGCCGCGGUAAGGACGUAGGACGCAAGCGUUAUCCGGAUUUACUGGGCGUAAAGCGCCUGUAGGCGGCCAAGUAAGUCGGAUGUGAAAGCCCGGUGCUCAAACG
RNAcentral lists this ribosomal RNA (518 nucleotides) under uncultured organism. Its description in RNAcentral is "bacterial SSU rRNA". It matches the Rfam family "Bacterial small subunit ribosomal RNA", at positions 93 to 614 of the family's 1533-position model. The record is from RNAcentral.